Molecule: long non-coding RNA, 1307 nt
Filed under: Bemisia tabaci
Lineage: Eukaryota; Metazoa; Arthropoda; Insecta; Hemiptera; Aleyrodidae
Description: lncRNA ENSASIAIIG000213
Source: RNAcentral
UCCUUUUUCACCCCUCUCCCCCCUCCCAACCUCCCUCUAGGGCCUCUCAAGUCCCCUCUGACAUUGUUCUCGAUUUAACUUCGUUCUCCGUUCGAACUUGCUUCAUACCAUGCCAUUUUGAACUUCGUCGCUCCUCUUCCGUCUACCUCCGUGAUUCGCGUAAUUGAAACCAGUCGUCAAAAAAUAUUCUUACUAUUCUUUCAUUUCAAAUAAAAUGUGUCUCUCUCCGGGCUGAUUAUUGAAUUUGGUAGAUAAACUGAUAGACAAAGGAAAAAGUAAAGUGAUCCUGUUGGCAGAAGCGAGUGGUUGCAAUGGACAAAGAAGGUAUUCGACUAACUCGCGGCAACUCACGAGAGACCCUAUAAUUAAUCCGUCAUUUGCCCCCUUUGUUUUUAUAGAUUUAAUUACAAUCUUUGAGAGCUGAAAGCCAAAUGGAAAUGCGGACUACGAAGACAAUAAAAUAAGGGAUUUUCUCUUAAAAAACCUCAGUAUUUUAUUAUAGUUAAAAGAAGAAAUUUACAAAGUUACGUACCAGACGUUUUGAAAUUGCACAUAUGCAUGUCUUCAUCAGUGGAUACUUGACAAAACAAUCAAAACAAGUGAAAAGACUAUUACAAUUUAAAUAAAGAGCCGUGGCAAGAAAACAAGCAAUUCCAUGGAUGCAAAGAUGAGAAAUACAACUCGUAGUGAAAUUACAAUAAUCACAAAGGAAAGCAGUCUACAGUGCAAGUGUGAAAGUGAAAAUAAUCAUAACCUCAACUUAGGUGAAUACUCAUAUUUUAUUUGAAUUCACACAUAUUGGGGCUAGCAGGAAACCCCACAAUCAGUAAUCACAGUUAAGUAGUGAUCAGUUACAAAAUUUUGUCUCUGGAUUUUUAUUUACUUUUUCAAUAUUGGCGAGUCGCACUGCUUUCAUACAAAUGCAGAAAUUAGUGGUAUAAGUAAAGGAUUUUUCUUGUAAUCGAUAUUUGCAAAGUAUUACGUCAUUAUUUAACGGUCACUGUUUGUUGAAAACCAAUAAAUAUUGGUGAAGUUCUCGUGCGCCGGUACUUGCCAAGUGAUAAUAGCCGCUUAAUGGUCUGUGAAGCAUACUAUUGUAACGUUUAUAUGUUCCUUUCUUAUUAAAUUUUAUUAGUAAAGUUUUCAUGUCACAUUAUUUAAAAAAAAAAAAAAAAAAACUUUGAAUUUGGUCCAGCCAUGGGGGGUUCAAAAUUGUCAAUAAAGUGUGUUCCCUAUUUCUAAUGGCGAUUCCAAAAAGAUGGUAAGGAACGACGUAAGUGGAGGGCUACGAUAUUUUUCUCCGAGAU